Molecule: long non-coding RNA, 399 nt
Organism: Drosophila ananassae
Lineage: Eukaryota; Metazoa; Arthropoda; Insecta; Diptera; Drosophilidae
Exons: 2
Source: RefSeq, a predicted model, not a curated record
CGAGCGGGCUUUCUGUUCAUUCACUUCUUAUCAUUGUUCUUUCUUUCGUCCAUCGCUCUUUAUACCCGAUUACAAUGGCUUGGGGGAAGAAGCAGUAGCCAAACACAAAAAAUGGGGGGUGUCAUUGACCAGGAGGGCGAUCUGGAGAGUGGAAGAGCUAGCGAACCACGCCACUUGGCGGAAAAUACACUGUUCUGCCAAAAUAAAGAAGAAGAAUAAAUCCCACAUCUUGUACGAAAUUACCCCAACUGGGGAGAGACGGAUUCAGAGAGAGAGAGUGUGAGCGAGAAAGAAGAACGACGCGCAGAGCAGCCAAAGGACGACCUUCAAAUAAUGUUGAAUUUUGUACGCAAACGACCUUGCAUACAACAACAGCAACGGAACGACGAAGCAGACCAC